This is a long non-coding RNA of Pecten maximus, 261 nucleotides long. RefSeq lists it as uncharacterized. The record is from RefSeq and is a predicted model, not a curated record. The transcript has 2 exons. Lineage: Eukaryota; Metazoa; Mollusca; Bivalvia; Pectinida; Pectinidae.
GUUUUAUUCAAGUUUCCUUGUCAUCUCCUUUUUCUUCCAGGCCCCUGAAAAGUAAACAAAAGGAUUUUAUAACUAUUUCUAAAGUUAAAUAACCCUAAAGCCAUUAUUGGUCAAAGCCAUUGGCAAUAGCAAUACAGUACAUGACUGUUAAAAUACCUUAUCUUACCUAUGUCAUAUAUACAAGACCAGACUCAGCGCAAUCUUCUAGCCUCUCUCUCAGACUCCAACAGAGUUAGGAUAUCACCCUCACGCACUGGGCCC